This 86-nucleotide transfer RNA is filed under the name Arenimonas sp. RNAcentral describes it as "tRNA-Leu". It matches the Rfam family "tRNA". Rfam says of the family: Transfer RNA (tRNA) molecules are approximately 80 nucleotides in length. Their secondary structure includes four short double-helical elements and three loops (D, anti-codon, and T loops). The record is from RNAcentral. RNAcentral also lists the same sequence under 1 other name. Lineage: Bacteria; Pseudomonadati; Pseudomonadota; Gammaproteobacteria; Lysobacterales; Lysobacteraceae.
GCCGGCGUGGCGGAAUGGUAGACGCGGUGGACUCAAAAUCCACUUGUAGUGAUACAGUGGAGGUUCGAGUCCUCUCGCCGGUACCA